Molecule: ribosomal RNA, 343 nt
Filed under: uncultured cyanobacterium
Lineage: Bacteria; Bacillati; Cyanobacteriota
Description: bacterial SSU rRNA
Rfam family: Bacterial small subunit ribosomal RNA
Source: RNAcentral
GAAGGCCUCUGGGCUGUAAACCUCUUUUAUCAAGGAAGAAGAUCUGACGGUACUUGAUGAAUAAGCCACGGCUAAUUCCGUGCCAGCAGCCGCGGUAAUACGGGAGUGGCAAGCGUUAUCCGGAAUUAUUGGGCGUAAAGCGUCCGCAGGCGGCCCUUCAAGUCUGCUGUUAAAAAGUGGAGCUUAACUCCAUCAUGGCAGUGGAAACUGUUGGGCUUGAGUGUGGUAGGGGCAGAGGGAAUUCCCGGUGUAGCGGUGAAAUGCGUAGAUAUCGGGAAGAACACCAGUGGCGAAUGCGCUCUGCUGGGCCAUCACUGACGCUCAGGGACGAAAGCUAGGGUAG